RNAcentral lists this ribosomal RNA (939 nucleotides) under uncultured bacterium. RNAcentral describes it as "bacterial SSU rRNA". It matches the Rfam family "Bacterial small subunit ribosomal RNA", at positions 8 to 916 of the family's 1533-position model. The record is from RNAcentral.
AGAGUUUGAUCCUGGCUCAGGACGAACGCUGGCGGCAUGCCUAAUACAUGCAAGUCGAACGCUUUUGUUUCACCGGGUGCUUGCACCCACCGAGACAAAAGAGUGGCGGACGGGUGAGUAACACGUGGGUAACCUGCCCAUAAGAGGGGGAUAACAUCCGGAAACGGAUGCUAAUACCGCAUAUUUCCAAUUGUCUCCUGACAGAUGGAAAAAAGGUGGCUUCGGCUACCGCUUAUGGAUGGACCCGCGGCGUAUUAGCUAGUUGGUGAGGUAAUGGCUCACCAAGGCGAUGAUACGUAGCCGACCUGAGAGGGUGAUCGGCCACACUGGGACUGAGACACGGCCCAGACUCCUACGGGAGGCAGCAGUAGGGAAUCUUCCGCAAUGGACGAAAGUCUGACGGAGCAAUGCCGCGUGAGUGAAGAAGGUUUUCGGAUCGUAAAACUCUGUUGUUAGAGAAGAACAAGGAUGAGAGUAACUGCUCAUCCCCUGACGGUAUCUAACCAGAAAGCCACGGCUAACUACGUGCCAGCAGCCGCGGUAAUACGUAGGUGGCAAGCGUUGUCCGGAUUUAUUGGGCGUAAAGCGAGCGCAGGCGGUUCUUUAAGUCUGAUGUGAAAGCCCCCGGCUCAACCGGGGAGGGUCAUUGGAAACUGGAGAACUUGAGUGCAGAAGAGGAGAGUGGAAUUCCACGUGUAGCGGUGAAAUGCGUAGAUAUGUGGAGGAACACCAGUGGCGAAAGCGACUCUCUGGUCUGUAACUGACGCUGAGGCUCGAAAGCGUGGGGAGCAAACAGGAUUAGAUACCCUGGUAGUCCACGCCGUAAACGAUGAGUGCUAAGUGUUGGAGGGUUUCCGCCCUUCAGUGCCGCAGCUAACGCAUUAAGCACUCCGGCCUGGGGAGUACGACCGCAAGGUUGAAACUCAAAGGAAUUGACGG